Chenopodium quinoa (quinoa) is the source of this 1928-nucleotide long non-coding RNA. RefSeq lists it as uncharacterized. Lineage: Eukaryota; Viridiplantae; Streptophyta; Magnoliopsida; Caryophyllales; Amaranthaceae. The record is from RefSeq and is a predicted model, not a curated record. The transcript has 2 exons.
UACUUGGCUAGGAGUUACUCGGUCAGUCAGAGGUUGUUACUCACUCAGUUGGCCAGGGGUUAUUUGGUCAGUCAGGACUAAGUUACUUGGUCAGGGGUUACUCAUGUGUUAGCUGGCGGUGUGUCCAGCCAUAUAAUUGAUUUAUAAUUUCCAACAUUAUCUUUUAUCAUACACAUUUUAGAUUUGAUUUGAGACCUUUUUUUUUUAAUUAUUUAUAAUACACUUUACAUAACUAGGAAGACUCCUAAACCUACCAAACUUAUAUUUGUAUAAUUUACCUAAACCGCUAGGGUUAGGAUACUAAUUUAAUCUUGGUAGGUUUAUGUAAAUUAUACAAGUAUAAGUUUGGUAGGUUUAGGAGUCUUCCUAGUUAUGUAAAGUGUAUUAUAAAUAAAUAAUUACAAUUUAAAAGCCUAAGCUGCGCUUGAGCAAGAAGAUGAGAAUGUUGAAUGACCAAGAAAUUCACAUACCAACAGAUAUACUAAGGGACAUACUAGCAAGGCUACCGGUGAAAAGCCUACUAAGAUUCAGGUGUGUUUGUAAACUCUGGUGUUGUCUAACCGAUUCCGAAGAUUUCACCCUCAACACAAACAAUCGUAUAAGCACUGAUGUACUAGUCAUGAGAAGCGUUAAAGGACGCGAUGAAUUUAUAGUUACUGUUCGAAGCACUGAUACAUUUAUGUUAAUAAUAUUGUAUAUUAUUUAUCUUGUAUUUAUCUAGUUUAACCAAGUUUUACCUGUAAUGGGCUGAUGUCGACAUCUACGCAGCUAUCUGGCAGCAGGGUUUUGUUGAGAUUGUGGAACCCUUCGAUUCGAAAGUCCUUUAUACUACCGUCGUGUCCUUAGAGUUCUGAGCACGAGUAUCGGAUGAGGUACGUGCUGGGGUAUCCUUCUUCUGGCGGCGACAACAAUUAUAAGGUGGCUGCCAUUACAAAUGAUUGUAGUCGUGAUGGAGGUAGGUGGGAUGUGUUGAUUGCAGCAUAUUCAUUUCAAAAUCAUAGUUGGAGUUGAGAAAUAAAACGGAAGAAUAAUGUCCCCUCGAUGCCACCUCUAUCUGGUCGUGUUUUCUCUCGAGGGGCUUGGUCCUUUGAUUUUGAUUCUGAGGACUUUAGCUGUGUGGAGUUUCCGGAUUUCACUGACACAAGGAGUAGUAGUGUAUGGAUGUAUUUUCGUUCUUGGCGAGUCAAUAGCUGUUUUCCGUUUGUCUUCCAUAUGGGUUUUGGAUAAGGAUAAUAGACAAGAGCCGUCGUCGUGGAGGCCAUGGCUUUCAAGAGAUGCAAAUUGUGGGGAAUUGUCUACACUGAGGUCUUGGAUGAAUGGUCGUUGUUCAAAGAUCUUCUAUACUCAUUUAUCAUAAACCACCGUCAAAAAUUGCUUUAUUACAAGUUUUUUUUUUCUUAUCAUCAAAUUGAAACUUUGAGAUGCUUAGUUCGUAAUAAUAUAACUUUAUAUAAUCAUGCAGAGAGCUUGGUGUUGCACAAAGGAACUCAAGGUCAGACUUUGACAUGAUCGACCAAACAGAUUUGUAGGCCGUGGCCAAGAUCACAGUUAAAAUUUAUGCAUGUCAGCUUUGCCACUUUCAUUUAAUUUACAUGAGAAUAUAAUAACAAUAUGGAUGCAAUCGGAGAUGUAUCAAGUACAAAACAAACGAAAAGAAAAUCAGAUCACAAAGUGAUGUUUAACCUGUCCGUCUGGUGAUGCACUUUCAAUCCUAUCCUGCAUUUGUCAUAUUGGUCUUCUUGUGGUAGUUUGAGGCCUGUAGUUGUACAAUUUUAAGCUUUUCAAACUCUUAACUCUUCCUAAAAAGCUGGGCAAUGCUAAAUUGCUAAUUACAGGCUAGCUUAUUUUCUGAUCUCUACCUUUUCCUGUAGGUAUUAAAUUACUCAAGUUUCUCUAAUUAAUUAUAGGAAAUUAUACAAUUGAUUUGA